AUGACGCUGCGUCGAAGGCGUGUGGGUGGCGCCCGGCCGGAGGGGCCGAGAGGCGGGGGCGGCGCGGGGCGGGAGGAGGCAGAGGGCAGGGCAACACCCCUCCGCCCCCUCCCCCGCGCCUCUAUUCUCCCCCUCCCGACACCCCCUACCUUCCUCUCCUCCCUCCCCGCCCCCACAACUGGGCUGGUCCUCCUCCAUCCACUCCUCCCCCCAUUCACUCCUCCCCUCAAGCCCUCUCACCUCCCCUUCCCUCCCCCAUCCACUCCUCCCCACAUCCCCUCACCUCCCUGUCCCUCCCCGUGCCCCAAUCCCCGCAAACCUGGGCUGCUCCUGCCCCUUCCACGCCUUCCUGCUCCCUCCCUCCCUGUCCCCUUCCCCUCCUCCCCACCCCCAUCUCCCCUUUACCCUCUUUCUUCCCAAACCCCUCUUCCUUCCUCUCCUUCCCCACAGGCCACUUCUCCUUUCCCCCUCCUGGCCCCCUGUCUCCUCCUCCCAUCCCCCACCCCGGCUUUAGUCUCCCAUCCCCCCUACACCCCCUUGCCUCUGCCUCCUCACAGCCCCCUACUUAUCCUAUUGCCUCCCUCCUGGGGCCCCUUCAGAUCCCUAGGGCCUCUUUGUCUCUCUCUGUUUUCUCCCAUUCCAGCCCCUGAUGACCAGGCCCCGCACCUCUGCUGGGGUCUGCCGCACACAGUAAGCUGCCUGGGAGUCCUCAUUGCCUUCCUGGGCAACCCAGCUAAAGGCCGCCCAGCAGCUGCAGCCCUGGAGGUCAGCGCAGCCCUGGCUGACGUCAGGGGCCCCUCCUCACCGCCCACCUCUGCACCUUCCCCAUCCCUUUGCCUGGUGUCCGGGAAAGGCCCCGUAGGAUGGCAUUCCUUUCCCAGGGUCUCCCUCAGGAAAGAUGAGAGGAAGCAAAAGCUCAGUCUGCACACAGGGCUGGUCCUCCCGACGGCCACAUCCGCAGGGAUGACCCUCAGAGGUGCUCCCAACUGGCUGGGAGGUUCCUCCACCUGGGCGCUCUGCUACCCAGCCGGGUCAAGGACAAACAGCCAUGUACAAAAUGGCAAGAGGCGGACCUUCCAGAGCAUGUAUAUGUGCAUAUUCACUCCUUCAAACCUCACAACUCCAUCAGCCAGGCACUUUUAUUAUCCCCAUAUUACAGAUGACAAAUCUGAGACCAAAGAUGAAUCAGCUUGGCAGUGUUCACAGAGCCAGCCUGUGGAAAAGCCAGAAUCCAGAAUCCAGUCCCAGGCCCUGCCUGCAGCAUCCCGGCUCUUACUGACACCUAAACGGCCACUGCCUCUUGGCUUAGUGCUCUUCCUUCUAAAAACGAGUCUCACUCUGUCACCUAGGCUGGAGUGCAGUGGCAUGAUCAUAGCUCACUGUAGCCUCAAACUCCUGGACUGAAGUGAUCCUUUUGCCUCAGCUUCCGAAAGUGCUGGGAUUUCAGGUAUGAGCCACUGCACCCAGCAGCGAUCACAUUUUUAAUUUGUAAGAGCUCUUUAUCAUCCUCUGAUUAUUUCUACUUCACGUCGUCCUGUUCUUUUUCAUAGAUACGUAUCUUUUUUUUAAAUCUCUGAGACUAUCAGUUAAAAAUACACAUAAAAAUUUUAAGUUUAUUUUUACAUCAUCUCUGUUUCCUUUGGCUCAUUUUUUUUGUUUGUUUGUUUUGGUCUCCCUCUUUCAUGUGGGAUACUUUUUGCAAAUUUCUGGUGAUCCUGGGUUAUCUAGUCAUAUCUAACAGUGAGGCAUCACAAUGUUUGGUGACUCUGUUAUGUGGGCAGAUAUUUGACUGGGAGUUCUCAAUCUCAGGCUAUUUCAUUAGGAAACCAUAGAAGUCUAUCCUUCAGAGGUCGGUAAAGGGUGGGUUUGAGACGUUUGGGUGGGGGCAUUUUGACAGCAUGGCUUCUCCUUUGGCAUGUUUAAUUGUGAUGUUUGACAGACAUCCUUGUAGUCAAAGAUGACACUUUUAAAAUACAUUAUCUCCUAAUGAUGGCUUGGGCCCUGUCACUCAAUGGGAGAAUCAGCAGAACCUAUAGGAUCUUAUGUGGAAUUGAUAUUCUCUGUUGUAAUUUUGUUCCUGUUUAUUUUAAAAUUUUCUUUGUGUUUCACCAGAAAAGAAAGAUGAUGCUCAGUUUUAAAUUUAACAGUGCACAAGUUGCUUUGUUACAAUAAAACCCAAUGUGUACUCACACACAAAAAGUCCAUCUUCAGGGGACUUUUCUCUGGAGCUGAUAAAUCUUUUUUCAGUGAAGAAUCCUCCAAUCUUCUAGCCAGGGGACAUAUACCUGACAGUCAUUUUCUGGGAAUGGGGUAAGGGAGGAAGCCUGGCAGUGGGCUCCACUAUGAACAGGAAGACUUAAACCUAAUCCUCCAUUAGGGCAGCCAGACACUGCCCUACUGUUGCUGGGAUCCCUGAACCUGAGGGUGCUCUGGUUCUAUUUCUCUAGAGAAAAAAACCUCCAGUCAAGUGCAAGGACAUAGUUGCCUGACUAUAUGGGAUUGGGAGGGGAUAUGGAGUUGUAAUUUCUUCAUAUAUUUCUUUCAACUGUUUCCCUAUGGUUUAGCCUAUGCUUCCAACUCACUUCCUGCAGAAGCUGCUGCUUCCAAGUUCCCAGCUCUUGGAGCUCUCUGGGGAGAAUCUGCUCAGUCCUCACCAUCAGUGCCAUCCUUGGGCCUUUCAAGUCUUCCUGUUCUCCACUCUGCUAAUUCAGUUACCACUAUGGCAGCCACUUUUAAUCAUCCCCAGAUUUGCUGUUAUUUUGUCCACUGAGGUCCUCACUCCCAUUCUCUGAAUUCUCAUGGGUUUACGCUUUUGUGGGGUCUUUGGAGAAAAGGGAGAUAAAGAUAUAUGGUCAAUUUCUUAUCUCCAGUAUCUCUGACACCACCUGCUGUCAGCCACACACUUUUAAAACUAGAAUUUAUUUUUUUAAUUUCAAUUUUAUUUUUAAAUUGGUAAAUAAUUGUAUAUAAAGGGUACAAUGUAAUUUUUAUAUAUUUAUAUAUAUAAAUAUAUAUAGCACUUGUCUAUACAUGUAUUGUACAAUGUGUAUACACACACACACAUUGUACAAUACAUGUAUAUACAAGUACUAUACACACACAUUGUGGAAUGAUUAUAUCAAGCUGAUUAACACAUUCAUCACCUCACAUACUUAUUUUUUGCAGAACAUUUACAAUCAAUUCUUCUAGCAAUUUACAUGAUGAUUAACUAUGGUCAUCAUGCUGUGGAACAGAGCUUUCUUUCUCCCAUCUGAAACUUCAUACCCUUAGGUCAACAUCUCCUUCCUCGCCUUCCCAGCCUCUGGUAACCACCAUUCUACUCUCUAAAGUAGGAAUUUAUUUUAAAUGUUCCCUAAACAUUUAUUUCAAGCAUCCAAGAUUCCAUAAAAGUCUUUAUGUCACCUUCUCCUUAAAGGUCUUGAUCUAUUCCCAGGCUUCACUUGGCCAAACUAAAACCUCAGUUCUCACGUUGAUGUCCUCACCAGGCUCUGAGUCCUCUGGUCCUUUUUCUCUGGCCUCCCUUCAGUUGUCCUUCUGGAGGUCUACUGACAAGAAAUGCAGUCAUCCUAGGCACUCCCUGGAUGACAAAAUCCUCUUGUACAAAUAUCUAUGCCCUAAGUGGUUGCCCAGGCAGGGUAAAAGGCAAGGCGUGCCUUUGGUGGGAGAGCGUGUUCUCCACAUUCUUCCCCACUGUGGACAAAGUUCUCAGAAGCCACUUUGGCUGCAAAAAAGUAUCCCUUAAAUGGUGUGUUCUCACAUCACCACGCACCACAUUGCCCAAGGGAACACUGCUAUAAUUAGCACAUGGGCUCCUCACCAGUCCAUCACAUUCUAGUAAACCCAGAUGUAAGGGAG
This is a long non-coding RNA of Callithrix jacchus (white-tufted-ear marmoset), 3855 nucleotides long. NCBI's taxonomy places the organism in Eukaryota, Metazoa, Chordata, Mammalia, Primates, Cebidae. The record is from Ensembl.